RNAcentral lists this unclassified non-coding RNA (228 nucleotides) under Hevea brasiliensis (rubber tree). Lineage: Eukaryota; Viridiplantae; Streptophyta; Magnoliopsida; Malpighiales; Euphorbiaceae. The record is from RNAcentral.
GCAGCCCAAUCAAAAAUUUCAGAAUCAAAUUUUUUCCAUCUUAAAUGACGAAAGGGCUAAACUACAUGCCGUUGCACAAGUCCUUGGCAGCUUUUCCAGUUGCUUCGUUUCGAUCAACCUUAAAAAGAAGAUCACUCUCUUCAAAGCCUCAAAAAUGGCAGUCCCGAGUAGCCUUGCAAAGGAAGCAGAGAUAGGUUCUUCAUGAUGGGUUUUGUUCUUGGAGGAAAG